Molecule: ribosomal RNA, 468 nt
Filed under: uncultured bacterium
Lineage: Bacteria
Description: partial 16S ribosomal RNA
Rfam family: Bacterial small subunit ribosomal RNA
Source: RNAcentral
GACGAACGCUGGCGGCGUGCUUAACACAUGCAAGUCGAACGGAAAGGCCCUACUUUUGUGGGGUGCUCGAGUGGCGAACGGGUGAGUAACACGUGAGUAACCUGCCCUUGACUUUGGGAUAACUUCAGGAAACUGGGGCUAAUACCGGAUAGGAGCUCCUGCUGCAUGGUGGGGGUUGGAAAGUUUCGGCGGUUGGGGAUGGACUCGCGGCUUAUCAGCUUGUUGGUGGGGUAGUGGCUUACCAAGGCUUUGACGGGUAGCCGGCCUGAGAGGGUGACCGGCCACAUUGGGACUGAGAUACGGCCCAGACUCCUACGGGAGGCAGCAGUGGGGAAUAUUGCACAAUGGGCGGAAGCCUGAUGCAGCAACGCCGCGUGCGGGAUGACGGCCUUCGGGUUGUAAACCGCUUUCGCCUGUGACGAAGCGUGAGUGACGGUAAUGGGCAAAGAAGCACCGGCUAACUACGUG